Molecule: ribosomal RNA, 122 nt
Filed under: Populus trichocarpa (black cottonwood)
Lineage: Eukaryota; Viridiplantae; Streptophyta; Magnoliopsida; Malpighiales; Salicaceae
Source: RNAcentral
GGGUGCGAUCAUACCAGCACUAAUGCACCGGAUCCCGUCAGAACUCCGCAGUUAAACGUGCUUGGGCGAGAGUAGUACUAGGAUGGGUGACCUCCUGGGAAGUCCUCGUGUUGCACCCCUCC